Molecule: long non-coding RNA, 551 nt
Organism: Bombus impatiens (common eastern bumble bee)
Lineage: Eukaryota; Metazoa; Arthropoda; Insecta; Hymenoptera; Apidae
Exons: 2
Source: RefSeq, a predicted model, not a curated record
UUGUGUGAGGUGCGUACGUGUGGGGUACGCGCGACGAAUUUUCAACAUGGUCGCUCGCGUGUAUCUUUGGUAUGGCGUUGGUUUAAUGUCAACAGUAGCGUGUUGUUGAAAUAGCUAACUAAUUGUUAAUCACUAUAAUUUUAUUUAGUAGUGUUUCUGUAAUAUUGUUUUGUGUUUCAUGAUAUUGUGUGUGUCAAUACCGUGUGCUACUUUAAUGUGAUAGCAUUUAUUGUGUUGUUAUCGAAUUUCAAUAGUCAUUGUUUUGAUUAUACGUGACUUGCUUUAGUCUUAUUCUGCUCUUUCGAUGCUGCGUCACUUACCUGGAUCGUUCCCGUAACAUCAUCCGAUUCUUUGAUAUGCCUUGGAUACUUACUACAGCUGUCUUCUAUUACGGCUGCCUUCUACUACAGCUGCCUUCAAUCGUCUUAUAUCUGUGGUCAUAAAGGUGGUGUUUAAUUUAUUUAAUUUAAUAUAUGUAUAAUGCAUUGUAUGUGCGACCGCUAUUGUGCAUUACAAAAUAACAUAACAAUACUACGUAGAUUAAUACAUAA